UUGAAAAGCAUCCUGGAAAUGUCGGUUGUAUAUCCGAGCAUUUUCUUGUCAGCAUUAAUAUUUGCAGCAUAUCAUAUAUACCCGCAUGGAAGGAUGUCUAAAAGCGAACAGGAAUCUACCUGGAUAGGACGCAAACCACUAUAGCAAAGCCACAAUUUCAUCCAACGCAUAACCCAUGUUCCUUUUUAGAAUGAUUGGGCAUGUAUAUGUUACCGGUACACUUAUACCGCCAAAUAAAUUAAGCGGUUCAACUGUCACAAAACCUCGUGCUUUUUUUCGUCGUCACUUUUUCACCGAGUCGAGUGUUUGGUGGUUCGGUCAAAGCUUUACCUUGCUGUUUUUUCAAUUGGGAAAAAUUUGCGAAUUUUCCUUUUUUUCUUGAAAAUCGCAUUAGCCCGCGUGGCGAAUAUACCUCUGAAUAAACAUAUUUUGCUCCAGCGGAAUUCAUCAACGAAAAACUGAUAAAAACGGGCAGAUUCCGGCGGAAAACGACUCUCUCUGAUGGUAAUGGUACAUCUACGCAUCUCUAUCAUGCUCAUCAAGUGGGGCUGAAUCUGGGAAUGUAUCCAGAAUCCCAGAGCUGAAUGCUUACAUCCGUCUGGGUUUUUCUGUUGUCUUGCGGAGCAAAUCGAACCCGACGAAGUGGUGCCUUUGUUAAUUUCUCGCAUUCAUCGAAAUGAGAGCGAGGGGAUCAGAGAUGUUUCACAAGCUAAACUUCAGAAGAUCGAACAGAGAUAUCAUUCACCCAGUAGCACGAUCAUUCACCCGUUUCGAAAACUCCAUUUAAUCACUGCACUUCACCACCUGAGGUAUGUGAAGUCCAAAAAUGUUUCACCGGCGCUAAUGAAGCGUUCACGGUGACUGUAAUUAGUAUAGACAGGAUGCAGGUUUCACGCAGCAAAUCCCAGUUGAAAUAAGCUUCCAUCAGAACUUCUUAUAAGGUGAAGAUUUACAUUUUAAUAAAGCGCGGUAUUGAAGAAUGAUGGAGACGGUAAAGCUAAAACGACCAAUUGGACAACACCUCUAUUCCUGGGUUGCAUGACUACGAUGAUCCGCCAGACGCACCUGUAUGCCGCAUUCGAGGCCGCAUUACAAAGAGAAGUCGGGCAAACUCCUGCUGGCCCUAUCCACCCGGUAUUACAAGUGGCCGGUAUAAUGCCGUACACGCCCAAUGUUCCGGUCGGGAGAGAUCAGACCCGGUGUCACCAAACUAAAAACGAUACACACUUCGUGCAGCAUCACAAGCACGCCGCAACACAUCUUUGUCCAUCUUUGAACUAGUCCAUACCAUUAUUUUAUUAAUAAUAAACAUAAAAAUGUAAA
This is a long non-coding RNA of Armigeres subalbatus, 1323 nucleotides long. RefSeq lists it as uncharacterized. The transcript is spliced from 4 exons. Lineage: Eukaryota; Metazoa; Arthropoda; Insecta; Diptera; Culicidae. The record is from RefSeq and is a predicted model, not a curated record.